UUUCCUUUUUCACCUCCUUUUUUCACUUCUUAUAUUUCUUUCUUUCUUUCCACCGUCUUUACCCAAAACCCAGAUAGAACAUGAGCUCGGCGCUACUGCCAAGUCGAAUUGGAGAUGGGUCCGAAGAUGGAAUGUGAUUUGGAGAUGGGAGCACGCAUGGAUCUUCGACUAGAGGAAAUCUCUCAACACUUAGAAGCUUGAAAUUUGCUGUUGUGCUUCCCUGUGAGAAAUUGGUGGUUGUGACAGAAGUAUUAGCUAGACCUUAGCCUUAGCGUGCAUUGGGUAGGCACUCAAUUCAAAGACUCCGUCGUAUUCUAGGUGAGUGGUAGGUGAGGCCAAAUUCCCUUUUAUCACCAGCCAAAUCAAUUGUGAAUUGAAAAUUGUGAUUGUCUGGGUCUUCUUCCUUUGUGUUCACAAGCCCAGCUCUACAUCAAUCUAAUUGUUGCACUUAAUUAAACCUCUUGUCUUAUGCAUAGCUUAAUUAAGAGCUUUUGUCUUGUGCAUGAAUUGAUGGUCUGCAAUGCCACUUUGUCAGCUUCUGCAAUUGUGUUGGACACUUUAUUAAUUAAGCCCUUUUGUUUUAUGCAUAGCUUAAUUAAUCUAUCUCAUGGCCUGCACAUCACCAGAGCACUCGUUCUUUGUUUUUUCUUUAUACAUAUAUAUUGCUUUAUGCUUUGUCAAGUUCUGGGAUGGUUUGGAUCACAUUGACCAUACUUAAAUUAAAGGUCCAUGCCCAGAUGAAGUGCCACCGCCAAGACUUUUUUCAUUUGGCUUUUAUAUUGGCACCGCUUCGAAGCUUUUUGGGACGCAAAUAUUUCAAAGUUGCUGCAUUGAACUUUGAAGUUUGCUUAGUCACCUUCGCUGCAAAUUCUCAUCUUUCUUUCUUCCCUUGACACGCUGCAUCCACGAACACAUACUUGUCACCUCUUGAAAUCAAGUCUAGACUGCCUCAUUUGAUCGUCUUGGCCUUUUGCAAGUAUAAUAACCUGUGCAUCAGAUUUGUCUUGGAAUUGGCUGCCACAAAGUGUGUGUUUAAUUUUGACAACUUGAGACUCGCCUUGCAAUUCCACUGCACAGCUUUCUAUCUUGCCUAUCAUCUUUUGGUGUUAAAAGCCUCAGACUGCCUCUGACCAUUUUGGCCUUCUGCAAACAUAAAGACUUGUGCACCAAAUUUGUUCUUAAUUGGAUGCUUCAAAGCUUGUAUUCAAUUUUAACAAAUUUGUUUGUUGUGCACAAGUUCAAGCAGGACAGGUGAUUGUAGUCACAGUAGUUUUAAAGUCUCGAAGCUUUAUUUUGAGGCAAAUUCGGUGAAGCAUGUAGCUUUGAGUUUCUUUAUGGUUUGAAACUGCUACAGAGACGCUGCUGCCAGGAUUUGAGAGAGCAAGGCUUGUUGCUGCUACAAUAUAGGAAGGCCCGCUGGUGGGAUUUGAAAGCGCAAGGCCUACACCAGAGGCGCCACUGCGAUAUGUUCAUCGAGACGCUGCCCGGCAUGUUCAUCGGGACGCUGCCCGGCAUGGUUUCAUCAGGACGCUGCCCGGCAUGUUGGUUUUGACAUCAUUGACACCCGAAGGUGCCGCUGUGAGGAGGGCCUGCAACAGAAAAGAGAAGGUGGUGGAGAGCUAUGGAAUGAGGUCCUGAACCUUUUGUCUUCCAAGGUCCUUUGCUGCUUUCUCCUUCUGCUUUUCCACCGUUGCUGUGCUCCGUUCCAUCCUCCUUUUCUUCUUUUCAUGUAGUGUUUUUAUACUGCACCGUAGAUGAGUUUGGCUUGUGUACAACAUUGAAAGCUUUAGAGUUCAACUUGAAGUGAACUCGUUGGAUAUUUUAUCUCCUUUCUCUUUUGACGUGAAGAUUGCAACUUCUUUUUCAAUUGCUUGUCUAGAGUUUCAAACAAGCUAGAAGUCAGAUGCUUCGCAAACCCAAUAUAAGCAGCUUAAUUAUUUCUUUUGUUUAGAGUUUCACCAGCUAUCAAACUCGUCCCCUAUUUUCUUCGAAAUAAAAUGCUUUUAAUUUUAUUUAAAUUAAAGCACUCAUAUU
Molecule: long non-coding RNA, 2034 nt
Organism: Rosa chinensis
Lineage: Eukaryota; Viridiplantae; Streptophyta; Magnoliopsida; Rosales; Rosaceae
Exons: 3
Source: RefSeq, a predicted model, not a curated record